GCUGGGUGAGGUGGUGCACACCUGUAAUCCCAGCAACUUGGGAGGCUGAGGCAGGAGGAUGGCAAGUUUGAGGCCUGCCUUAGCAACUUAGCACAGCACUAAGCAAUUUAGUAAGACCCUGUCUCAA
This 127-nucleotide small RNA is filed under the name Marmota monax (woodchuck). The record is from RNAcentral. Lineage: Eukaryota; Metazoa; Chordata; Mammalia; Rodentia; Sciuridae.